CAGGCCUAACACAUGCAAGUCGAACGAAGGCUUCGGCCUUAGUGGCGCACGGGUGCGUAACGCGUGGGAAUCUGCCCUUGGGUUCGGAAUAACGGUGGGAAACUACCGCUAAUACCGGAUGAUGACGUAAGUCCAAAGAUUUAUCGCCGAGGGAUGAGCCCGCGUAGGAUUAGCUGGUUGGUGGGGUAAAGGCCUACCAAGGCGACGAUCAGUAGCUGGUCUGAGAGGAUGAUCAGCCACACUGGGACUGAGACACGGCCCAGACUCCUACGGGAGGCAGCAGUGGGGAAUAUUGGACAAUGGGCGCAAGCCUGAUCCAGCCAUGCCGCGUGAGUGAUGAAGGCCUUAGGGUUGUAAAGCUCUUUUGUCCGGGACGAUAAUGACGGGAGAUAAAGAAUCGCCCACGCUCAUCAUGGUUUCCCCAU
This 425-nucleotide ribosomal RNA is filed under the name uncultured bacterium. Its description in RNAcentral is "bacterial SSU rRNA". It matches the Rfam family "Bacterial small subunit ribosomal RNA", at positions 43 to 470 of the family's 1533-position model. The record is from RNAcentral.